GAACGAUCUUGAUUAAACCACUAACCCCUUGUAUUUACUCGCCCAAAUUCCAGCUCUUCCAUCACUCGUCCAGUUAAUUUCAAAAUUAAUUUCAAGUUUCUUUCCCAUCAAUGGCAGAGGCGUUACGCAUGUGCAAAGGGUUUUGCCAUAAUCUUCUCUGGGUAGAAAGUGCAAAAACUUUGGAUUAAGCAGGUACACUUGCAACCCUGGGCAGGAUCACUG
Papaver somniferum (opium poppy) is the source of this 222-nucleotide long non-coding RNA. RefSeq lists it as uncharacterized. The record is from RefSeq and is a predicted model, not a curated record. NCBI's taxonomy places the organism in Eukaryota, Viridiplantae, Streptophyta, Magnoliopsida, Ranunculales, Papaveraceae. The transcript has 3 exons.